Molecule: ribosomal RNA, 761 nt
Filed under: uncultured bacterium
Lineage: Bacteria
Description: bacterial SSU rRNA
Rfam family: Bacterial small subunit ribosomal RNA
Source: RNAcentral
AUUGAACGCUGGCGGCAGGCUUAACACAUGCAAGUCGGACGGUAACAGGGAGGAAGCUUGCUUUCUUUGCUGACGAGUGGCGGACGGGUGAGUAAUGCUUGGGAAUCUGUUUUAUGGAGGGGGAUAACUACGGGAAACUGUAGCUAAUACCGCGUAAUAUCGAGAGAUUAAAGUGUGGGACCGUAAGGCCACAUGCCAUAGAGUGAGCCCAAGUGGGAUUAGGUAGUUGGUGGGGUAAAGGCCUACCAAGCCGUCGAUCUCUAGCUGGUCUGAGAGGAUGACCAGCCACACUGGGACUGAGACACGGCCCAGACUCCUACGGGAGGCAGCAGUGGGGAAUAUUGCACAAUGGGCGCAAGCCUGAUGCAGCCAUGCCGCGUGAAUGAAGAAGGCCUUCGGGUUGUAAAGUCCUUUCGGUGGUGAGGAAGGUUGUAAUGUUAAUAGCAUUAUAAUUUGACGUUAGCCACAGAAGAAGCACCGGCUAACUCCGUGCCAGCAGCCGCGGUAAUACGGAGGGUGCGAGCGUUAAUCGGAAUAACUGGGCGUAAAGGGCACGCAGGCGGAUACUUAAGUGAGGUGUGAAAGCCCUGGGCUUAACCUAGGAAUUGCAUUUCAUACUGGGUAUCUAGAGUAUUUUAGGGAGGGGUAGAAUUCCACGUGUAGCGGUGAAAUGCGUAGAGAUGUGGAGGAAUACCGAAGGCGAAGGCAGCCCCUUGGGGGAAUACUGACGCUCAUGUGCGAAAGCGUGGGGAGCAAACAGG